RNAcentral lists this ribosomal RNA (303 nucleotides) under uncultured bacterium. RNAcentral describes it as "bacterial SSU rRNA". It matches the Rfam family "Bacterial small subunit ribosomal RNA", at positions 355 to 675 of the family's 1533-position model. The record is from RNAcentral.
UGGGGAAUAUUGCACAAUGGGGGAAACCCUGAUGCAGCGACGCCGCGUGGGUGAAGAAGUAUUUCGGUAUGUAAAGCCCUAUCAGCAGGGAAGAAAAUGACGGUACCUGACUAAGAAGCCCCGGCUAACUACGUGCCAGCAGCCGCGGUAAUACGUAGGGGGCAAGCGUUAUCCGGAUUUACUGGGUGUAAAGGGAGCGUAGGUGGCGUGCCAAGUCAGGAGUGAAAACCCAGGGCCCAACCCUGGGACUGCUCUUGAAACUGGCAGGCUUGAGUGCUGGAGAGGUAAGCGGAAUUCCUAGUG